This 63-nucleotide transfer RNA is filed under the name Cryptonema producta. RNAcentral describes it as "tRNA-Phe". Lineage: Eukaryota; Metazoa; Mollusca; Bivalvia; Venerida; Veneridae. The record is from RNAcentral.
GUUUUGGUAGUUUAAAUAGAAUAUAGCUUUGAAGAAGCUUAGGUGGUUGUCGACCUCAGAACA